CCUACGGGAGACUGCAGUGAGGACUAUUGGUCAAUGGGCUUACGCCUGAACCAGCCAAGUCGCGUGAGGGAAGACUGCCCUAUGGGUUGUAAACCUCUUUUGUCAGGGAGCAAUUGGCGCUACGUGUAGCGUUAUCUAGAGUACCUGAAGAAAAAGCAUCGGCUAACUCCGUGCCAGCAGCCGCGGUAAUACGGAGGAUGCGAGCGUUAUCCGGAUUUAUUGGGUUUAAAGGGUGCGUAGGCGGAAUGCCAAGUCAGCGGUAAAAUCGCGGGGCUCAACCUCGCUCCGCCGUUGAAACUGGCGUUCUUGAGUGGGCGAGAAGUAUGCGGAAUGCGUGGUGUAGCGGUGAAAUGCAUAGAUAUCACGCAGAACUCCGAUUGCGAAGGCAGCAUACCGGCGCCCAACUGACGCUGAAGCACGAAAGCGUGGGUAUCGAACAGGAUUAGAUACCCCUGUAGUC
RNAcentral lists this ribosomal RNA (460 nucleotides) under uncultured bacterium. RNAcentral describes it as "partial 16S ribosomal RNA". It matches the Rfam family "Bacterial small subunit ribosomal RNA", at positions 338 to 795 of the family's 1533-position model. The record is from RNAcentral.